Molecule: ribosomal RNA, 406 nt
Filed under: uncultured bacterium
Lineage: Bacteria
Description: partial 16S ribosomal RNA
Rfam family: Bacterial small subunit ribosomal RNA
Source: RNAcentral
AUUGAACGCUGGCGGCAGGCUUAACACAUGCAAGUCGAGCGAGCGGCGGACGGGUGCGUAAUGUAGGGGAAACUGCCUGAUGGAGGGGGAUAACUAGUGGCAACGGUAGCUAAUACCGCAUACCAUAAGAUGUGGCGAGAUGGGAUUAGCUAGUAGGUGGGGUAAUGGCUAAACUAGGGGACGAGCCCUAGCUGGUCUGAGAGGAUGAGCGGCCACACUGGAAUUGAGACACGGUCCAGAAUCCUACGGGAGGCAGCAGUGGUGAAUAUUGCACAAUGGGCGCAAGCCUGAUGCAGCCAUGCCGCGUGUGUGAAGAAGGCCUUCGGGUUGUAAAGCACUUUCAGCGAGGAGGCGUUACUCGCAGAAGAAGCACCGGCUAACUCCGUGCCAGCAGCCGCGGUAAUUC